RNAcentral lists this long non-coding RNA (344 nucleotides) under Oryctolagus cuniculus (rabbit). RNAcentral describes it as "lncRNA (ENSOCUG00000034714.1)". Lineage: Eukaryota; Metazoa; Chordata; Mammalia; Lagomorpha; Leporidae. The record is from RNAcentral.
AUGGUGGAAGAUCACGCAGUGCUACGGACCACCCCACGUGGAGGCCGCUGCUCCCUCCUCUGCACUGUUAGAACUAUUCCCUGGGAGGUUUAUCAGGAACUCUGUGAACAAAAAGCUGCAGGAAGUCCGAUGGAAGCAUUUAUGAAAUGGAUAACCUUUGCAGGACUCUCACGAGUAGUGCGGUAAGAUUGCAGCGAUAAUUGUUCUUCUGAAAGGACAGCACUCUCAGGUAUAUCUAAAAUAAUGGAUUGAACAAGGCGAAUGUUUCUCAGAGAUAAGAAAAAUCCUUUGCUGAGAAUUUCGUCUGCAAUAAACUAGAAGUUAAGCUUCGUUGCUUAAUUUCU